AUACGGAGGGAGCGAGCGUUAAUCGGAAUUACUGGGCGUAGAGCGCGCGUAGGCGGCUUUGUAAGUCGGAUGUGAAAGCCCUGGGCUCAACCUGGGAAUUGCACUCGAUACUGCAGAGCUAGAGUAUGGUAGAGGGAAGUGGAAUUUCCGGUGUAGCGGUGAAAUGCGUAGAUAUCGGAAGGAACACCAGUGGCGAAGGCGACUUCCUGGGCCAAUACUGACGCUGAGGUGCGAAAGCGUGGGGAGCAAACAGGAGUAGAAACCCUAGUAGUCC
Molecule: ribosomal RNA, 274 nt
Filed under: uncultured bacterium
Lineage: Bacteria
Description: partial 16S ribosomal RNA
Rfam family: Bacterial small subunit ribosomal RNA
Source: RNAcentral